Molecule: ribosomal RNA, 519 nt
Filed under: Enterococcus faecium
Lineage: Bacteria; Bacillati; Bacillota; Bacilli; Lactobacillales; Enterococcaceae
Description: bacterial SSU rRNA
Rfam family: Bacterial small subunit ribosomal RNA
Source: RNAcentral
ACGAUGAGUGCUAAGUGUUGGAGGGUUUCCGCCCUUCAGUGCUGCAGCUAACGCAUUAAGCACUCCGCCUGGGGAGUACGACCGCAAGGUUGAAACUCAAAGGAAUUGACGGGGGCCCGCACAAGCGGUGGAGCAUGUGGUUUAAUUCGAAGCAACGCGAAGAACCUUACCAGGUCUUGACAUCCUUUGACCACUCUAGAGAUAGAGCUUCCCCUUCGGGGGCAAAGUGACAGGUGGUGCAUGGUUGUCGUCAGCUCGUGUCGUGAGAUGUUGGGUUAAGUCCCGCAACGAGCGCAACCCUUAUUGUUAGUUGCCAUCAUUNAGUUGGGCACUCUAGCAAGACUGCCGGUGACAAACCGGAGGAAGGUGGGGAUGACGUCAAAUCAUCAUGCCCCUUAUGACCUGGGCUACACACGUGCUACAAUGGGAAGUACAACGAGUUGCGAAGUCGCGAGGCUAAGCUAAUCUCUUAAAGCUUCUCUCAGUUCGGAUUGCAGGCUGCAACUCGCCUGCAUAAGC